Molecule: ribosomal RNA, 327 nt
Filed under: Triticum aestivum (bread wheat)
Lineage: Eukaryota; Viridiplantae; Streptophyta; Magnoliopsida; Poales; Poaceae
Description: partial small subunit ribosomal RNA
Source: RNAcentral
AUGGCUCUGAGGUUUGGUUUAAUUCUUGCACAAAAGGCGGGAUGCAAUCGUCUUAUUAUUAACUCUGAUAAUAUGGAAGUCAUUGACACAAUGAAAAAUGGAGGACAAUUGGCGGGAGUUGCGGCGGCAGUCUUCGAGGAUUGCUACUUCAUGGCAUGUGAUUUUCCGUUGACUAGAUUUGAACAUUGUAAUAGGAUAGCUAAUAAGGUUUCUCAUGAACUUGCUAGGCUAGCGAAAGUUUCUGUAACUAGAGAUUGGUUUGAGGAGCCUAUGGAGAAUAUUGUACCUCUUCUUAUAGACGAUGUAACCAUUAUUUCCAAUCAAUAA